GACGAACGCUGGCGGCGUGCUUAACACAUGCAAGUCGAACGGAAAGGCCCUGCUUUUGUGGGGUGAUCGAGUGGCGAACGGGGGAGUAACACGUGAGUAACCUACCCUUGACUUUGGGAUAACUUCAGGAAACUGGGGCUAAUACCGGAUAGGAGCUCCUGCUGCAUGGUGGGGGUUGGAAAGUUUCGGCGGUUGGGGAUGGACUCGCGGCUUAUCACCUUGUUGGUGGGGGAGUGGCUUGCCAAGUCUUUGACGGGUAGCCGGCCUGAGAGGGUGGCCGGCCACCUUGGGACUGCGAUACGGCCCAGACUCCUAUGGUAGGCAGCAGUGGGGAAUAUUGCACAAUGGGCGGAAGCCUGAUGCAGAAACGCCGCGUGCGGGAUGACGGCCUUCGGGUUGUAAACCGCUUUCGCCUGUUACGAAGCGUGAGUGACGGUAAUGGGUAAAGAAGCACCGGCUAACUACGUG
RNAcentral lists this ribosomal RNA (468 nucleotides) under uncultured bacterium. Its description in RNAcentral is "partial 16S ribosomal RNA". It matches the Rfam family "Bacterial small subunit ribosomal RNA", at positions 28 to 507 of the family's 1533-position model. The record is from RNAcentral.